GCUCUUCAUCCUCUGCAGAGCUCCCUUGAUCCGGAUCAGAGGUUCCAUGUGGAAGCAUCAAAUGUGAUCUCCACAUGAGCACUGGGGAGCAAGGAAUAAUGCAGGGUGGUUGCAUGUCCUCAGCACGCUCAGUUUGGGUACUUGCAGCCCCCAAAGCAGUAAGUGCAAUGACAGGGAAGGCCUGCCUCCAUCUCCUUGCUCCACUCUAAUUUCCUGCUGCAAAGCAAAGCAUGGCUUCAAUGGAAAUAUAUGCACAGCAGCCAUGCUUCUAAUUGAAACCCAGUUUGUCCUGAGAAGCAAUGCAAGUGUGUCCUUGGGAUGUCAGCCUUGGUGUGGGGUGCAUGAAUAGACCCAUUCAGACACUAACACAGGCCUCCUAAAUACAGCCCCAUCUACCAAGAGAUGGAUUCCUGAUGAAUUGAGCUCAACAAAGCAGCAGAGCGCACAGGAGAUAAUGGAAUGACUGCAAAAUACUGGCCACGUAUAGGAAUUUUAAUUCCACUUGACAGUGCCUGGAAGCUUUGUCAGUUUGGACAAGGUGUCAAGGAGGAAAAGGGGAGAGGCUGAAGCUGGAUGCUGUGGGGAUGCUGGGGCUGGUGGGUGCUGCUGGUGCUCAUCCCAUACUUUGGACGAACUCAUAGCUCUUUACAUUUAUCUUUUCAACACCAAAAGCUGGCUGCCAUCUCCACACCAGAGCUCCUAACGCAUGUUAACCUGGUGAGCUGGGAUGGGGCUCCUAGGACAUUCAGCACAGCGCUAACUCCCCGUGGGGCUGUCAUUACAAACCGAUGAGGUAUCAGUGUUAUGUUUUUGUUUAGCUAAAAAAGCCUUCAGAGUGAUGCUGAAUAAGUAUUAAUAGGCCUUUUUUGUUGUUUUUCUUCUUCUUUUUUUUUUUUUUCUUUUACUAACACAGAGAAAAUUGAAACCAGCUGGCAGGGCUGGUUGUUCCAGCCAACUGCAGCAGCCCUGGGGAUUCCCUUCAUGUGCUGGUGCUGCAGGGAGGGGAAAUUGGGCAAGCAGCAUGUGAGGGGAUUUGCCUGCCUGGGGAUGAGUCCCUGCCCAAAUGAGAGAGCUGGAGGAACUGGACCAAAGGAAGAAGGAGAGAUGCUGGGAAGACGCGUUUCAAUGUGUGGAUACUGCUUGCCUUACUCCUCUCUUGUGUGGCCAUUUCCCCUCUGCGCCUUUGGGAUAGAUGGAAUGAAGAUUGGUCCGAGGCAAAGCUGGCAGCCUGGGAGAUCGGUUUUGGAGCCGAGAGGGAUGAGCAUCCCCUUGUGAAGCUCUGCAAGGCCUCAGCUUCUCACUGCUGGAAACCGUGAGUGUGGGCUGGAAGAUGUGCCAGGGAGCCCCAGGCACACACUGGGACCAGGGGGAGCAUCCAGAGCAGGCUGCAAGCAGCUUCAGCAAUUAUCUAGCAAGUAGUGCCAGGAUGUAGGGCAUGGUGUGGGGAUGGGAAUACAACACACCUCCAUAGGGAUUUUAGGAAGUUCCUGGGGUGCUUUGAUGAGUGAAUGCCAUAUUGGCUGCUUGCCGGUCCUGCAGAGCACUACGCCUAGUACCUAUCCCUGCAUCCACACAGCCCCGAUGAGAGCAGGCCCAGAAGAUGUAUUGUAGUCCUUUGGCUGGAGAACCAGCAGCAGUCCUUCAUGUGGGGCUUCCAGCCCCCUGGAGAAACCACAUCAAGAGCAUCCCUGCCUUUGUGGUGCUAUGGAUGUGAGUGGGCUGGGGUUACCUUUCAGAUCACUUUGCUCACACUGUGAAAUCAAUACUCCUGAAAACAAAGGCUAGAGGAGAGCUGGGUCUCUGCUUGGGCUUGGGAGAAUUUCCUUCCAAGAUGCUGUCACAGGUUGCAGGGGAAGGCACUCUGGGCUGAGGCACUGGUGUGUUUCUGGAUCUCUCCUGGGUUUAGGCGGCUCGUGGGUAUUGACUGUCAUGAAAUGGAGAGGGUGCAUCAUAGCUUUGCUCCACAGGGAGCAGAGCAUAGAGAUCCAUGGUGGGGAUUAACGGUGUCUGCUCUCUGGGGUGGCUCCAGAGGAUGAGAAAUGCAUGGCCAGGCACAGCACAAAGCCCAGAGGAGCAGAGUGAUCUCAUGCAUUUCCACCUUCUUUUCAUCAGCAAUCAGCGCUGGGAGUAUUGCAAUGAACUUUCUGGUGUUAAUCUGACAUGCUUCAGG
Molecule: long non-coding RNA, 2170 nt
Filed under: Coturnix japonica (Japanese quail)
Lineage: Eukaryota; Metazoa; Chordata; Aves; Galliformes; Phasianidae
Description: lncRNA (ENSCJPG00005003695.1)
Source: RNAcentral